GACGGGCCCGCACAAGCAGCGGAGCGUGUGGUUUAAUUCGAUGAUACACGAAGAACCUUACCAGGGUUUGACAUGCUAGUGGUAGGGAUCCGAAAGGUGACCGACCCCUCGGGGAGCUAGCACAGGUGCUGCAUGGCUGUCGUCAGCUCGUGUCGUGAGAUGUUCGGUUAAGUCCGCUAACGAGCGCAACCCUUGCUGUGUGUUACAUGUGUCACACGGGACUGCCGGUCUUAAACCGGAGGAAGGUGGGGAUGACGUCAAGUCAGCAUGGCCUUUAUGUCCUGGGCUACACACACGCUACAAUGGCCGGUACAAUAGGUUGCGAAGCCGCGAGGCGGAGCCAAUCCUGAAAGCAGGCCUCAGUUCAGAUUGCAGUCUGCAACUCGACUGCAUGAAGCCGGAGUUGCUAGUAACCGCAGGUCAGCAAUACUGCGGUGAAUACGUUCCCGGGUCUU
RNAcentral lists this ribosomal RNA (455 nucleotides) under uncultured Levilinea sp. RNAcentral's name for it is "bacterial SSU rRNA". It matches the Rfam family "Bacterial small subunit ribosomal RNA", at positions 917 to 1381 of the family's 1533-position model. The record is from RNAcentral. Lineage: Bacteria; Bacillati; Chloroflexota; Anaerolineae; Anaerolineales; Anaerolineaceae.